UUCGGAGACAAAGUGACAGGUGGUGCAUGGUCGUCGUCAGCUCGUGUCGUGAGAUGUUGGGUUAAGUCCCGCAACGAGCGCAACCCUUAUUGUUAGUUGCCAGCAUUCAGAUGGGCACUCUAGCGAGACUGCCGGUGACAAACCGGAGGAAGGCGGGGACGACGUCAGAUCAUCAUGCCCCUUAUGACCUGGGCUACACACGUGCUACAAUGGCGUAUACAACGAGUUGCCAACCCGCGAGGGUGAGCUAAUCUCUUAAAGUACGUCUCAGUUCGGAUUGUAGUCUGCAACUCGACUACAUGAAGUCGGAAUCGCUAGUAAUCGCGGAUCAGCACGCCGCGGUGAAUACGUUCCCGGGUCUUGUACACACCGCCCGUCACACCAUGGGAGUUUGUAAUGCCCAAAGCCGGUGGCCUAACCUUUUAGGAAGGAGCCGUCUAAGGCAGGACAGAUGACUGGGGUGAAGUCGUA
This 471-nucleotide ribosomal RNA is filed under the name Leuconostoc mesenteroides. Its description in RNAcentral is "bacterial SSU rRNA". It matches the Rfam family "Bacterial small subunit ribosomal RNA", at positions 1019 to 1490 of the family's 1533-position model. The record is from RNAcentral. Lineage: Bacteria; Bacillati; Bacillota; Bacilli; Lactobacillales; Lactobacillaceae.